UCUGUGAAAGCAUUUCAGUUGAAACGGAAGCUGGUUGAAAUCUCCAGUCCAGUUGGUGGCAGUAGUGCACCUCAAGAGACCGAGUGUGGGCGAGAGAGAACGAGUGUGCGGGUAAAGGAUCAAAUAAACAUACUGAACCAUUUUAACUUGUACGGUAGCAUUAAGUUGAGGUAUCCUGCAGUUUUUAAAUAUGCCUAAAAACUUUUAUUAUCAAUUAUAAACUAUUGUAUGGAGUCAAGGGAUUGGGGGCGUAUACAACUCGCCUGCGUGUGUUGCGUCAUCAGCUUGAAUUGCAGACGCAGACUGAGGUGGAGCUGAAUCAGACAAGAGACAUGCGGCUGGAUCAAAGUUACGGCGGACACACUUUGCAUGGCUUGAUGGUGUUGUGAACUGGAAGAAAUAAAACAUUCAAGGCUCCUCCAACAACAAUUAUCCUCUUUGAAAGUUUUACGUUCGUUGAAUUAAAGUUUAUUUGACUCCAUUUUCAUUGUUUUUAUUUCAUAUAUUAUUUAUAAUUGUAAAGCAAAUUAUUACAACCUGAUAGGAAAGCAUAUGAUUUACUAAGAAUUUCAGAUAACCUUAUAAUGAAAAUCCUUCUUGGUUUACAAGAAAGAGAAAUACCAAUCUAAUGCAAUUGAAAUUUUCAAACAUGUAAAGUUAUGUUCUAAUAAUGAUUAAUGUU
Paramisgurnus dabryanus is the source of this 682-nucleotide non-coding RNA. NCBI's taxonomy places the organism in Eukaryota, Metazoa, Chordata, Actinopteri, Cypriniformes, Cobitidae. The record is from RefSeq and is a predicted model, not a curated record.